UACGUAGGGUGCAAGCGUUGUCCGGAAUUAUUGGGCGUAAAGAGCUCGUAGGCGGUCUGUCGCGUCGGUCGUGAAAACUCGGGGCUUAACCCUGAGCUUGCGGUCGAUACGGGCAUGACUGGAGUUCGGCAGGGGAGACUGGAAUUCCUGGUGUAGCGGUGAAAUGCGCAGAUAUCAGGAGGAACACCGGUGGCGAAGGCGGGUCUCUGGGCCGAUACUGACGCUGAGGAGCGAAAGCGUGGGGAGCGAACAGG
This 254-nucleotide ribosomal RNA is filed under the name uncultured bacterium. Its description in RNAcentral is "partial 16S ribosomal RNA". It matches the Rfam family "Bacterial small subunit ribosomal RNA", at positions 524 to 776 of the family's 1533-position model. The record is from RNAcentral.